AUUGAACGCUGGCGGCGUGCCUAACACAUGCAAGUCGAGCGGUAACAGGUGUAGCAAUACAUGCUGACGAGCGGCGAACGGGUGAGUAAUGCUUCGGAAUCUACCUUAUGGUGGGGAAUGACUAGCCGAAAGGUUAGCUAAUACCGCAUACGUCCUACGGGAGAAAGCAGGGGAUCGCAAGACCUUGCGCCAAAAGAUGAGCCGAAGUCGGAUUAGCUAGUUGGUAGGGUAACGGCCUACCAAGGCGACGAUCCGUAGCUGGUCUGAGAGGACGACCAGCCACACUGGGACUGAGACACGGCCCAGACUCCUACGGGAGGCAGCAGUGGGGAAUAUUGGACAAUGGGGGAAACCCUGAUCCAGCGACGCCGCGUGUGUGAAGAAGGCCUGCGGGUUGUAAAGCACUUUUAGUGGGGAUGAAAUGUGCAGGGUUAAUACCUCUGCAUUUUGACCUAACCCACAGAAAAAGCACCGGCUAACUCUGUGCCAGCCGCCGCAGUAA
RNAcentral lists this ribosomal RNA (502 nucleotides) under uncultured bacterium. RNAcentral describes it as "partial 16S ribosomal RNA". It matches the Rfam family "Bacterial small subunit ribosomal RNA", at positions 30 to 523 of the family's 1533-position model. The record is from RNAcentral.